CCUACGGGAGGCAGCAGUGGGGAAUAUUGCGCAAUGGGCGAAAGCCUGACGCAGCGACGCCGCGUGAGGGAUGAAGGUCUUCGGAUCGUAAACCUCUGUCAGCAGGGAAGAACGGUCACUGUGCUAAUCAGCAGUGAAUUGACGGUACCUGCAAAGUAAGCACCGGCUAACUCCGUGCCAGCAGCCGCGGUAAGACGUUGGGUGCGAGCGUUAAUCGGAAGUACUGGGCGUAAAGCGCGCGUAGGCGGGAUGUCAAGUCAAGAGUGAAAUCCCCGGGCUCAACGUGGGAACUGCCUUUGAAACUGGAUGACUGGAGUGUGUGAGAGGAUAGUGGAAUUCCAGGUGUAGGAGUGAAAUCCGUAGAUAUCUGGAGGAAAAUCAGUGGCGAAGGCGACUUUCUGGCACGUAACUGACGCUGAGGAGCGAAAGCGUGGGUAGCAAACAGGAUUAGAUACCCCUGUAGUC
This 465-nucleotide ribosomal RNA is filed under the name uncultured bacterium. RNAcentral's name for it is "partial 16S ribosomal RNA". It matches the Rfam family "Bacterial small subunit ribosomal RNA", at positions 338 to 795 of the family's 1533-position model. The record is from RNAcentral.